AAAACAUAGCCUUCAGCCCACACAAGUAUUGAAGGUGAUGCCUGCCCAGUGACUAUAGUUUAACGGCCGCGGUAUCCUAACCGUGCGAAGGUAGCGCAAUCAAUUGUCUCAUAAAUCGAGACCUGUAUGAAUGGCUAAACGAGGUCUUAACUGUCUCUUGCAGAUAAUCAAUGAAAUUGAUCCCCCUGUGCAAAAGCAGGAAUACCACCAUAAGACGAGAAGACCCUGUGGAACUUAAAAAUCUUAGACCAAUGCCACCACCCUCCCAACCUACAGGGCUCACCCUACUGCACCCUAUGGUCCUAAUUUUUUGGUUGGGGCGACCUUGGAGCACAGACGAACCUCCAAAAAUAAGAUCACCUAAUCUUAACCUAGACUAUACCCAUCAAAGUACUAACAGUAACCAGACCCAAUAUAAUUGACCAAUGAACCAAGCUACCCCAGGGAUAACAGCGCAAUCUCCUUCAAGAGCCCCUAUCGACAAGGAGGUUUACGACCUCGAUGUUGGAUCAGGACAACCUAAUGGUGCAGCCGCUAU
This 538-nucleotide ribosomal RNA is filed under the name Tinamus major (great tinamou). Its description in RNAcentral is "partial 16S ribosomal RNA". It matches the Rfam family "Bacterial large subunit ribosomal RNA", at positions 1810 to 2565 of the family's 2925-position model. The record is from RNAcentral. Lineage: Eukaryota; Metazoa; Chordata; Aves; Tinamiformes; Tinamidae.